RNAcentral lists this long non-coding RNA (284 nucleotides) under Theobroma cacao (cacao). RNAcentral describes it as "long non-coding RNA (TCAC_LNC003352)". The record is from RNAcentral. Lineage: Eukaryota; Viridiplantae; Streptophyta; Magnoliopsida; Malvales; Malvaceae.
AUUGGAAAAUUAUUGUGUUUUAUGGGAAAAUGAGAUUUUAUAAAAUAAUUUUAUAAUAUUUUUGAAAAUUUAAUAAUGAUUUCAAAAAUAGAGUAAUUGGAGACCUAUACUAUGAUUGUGUUGUUUAUCCAUGAUUUUACAUUAAAUGGCUUAUGAUAAAUGUGGGUAUGACUGGUUAUUUUUAUGAUUUAAAGAAUAUGUGAACUGUUUUGAUUUGCCUUGAAUGUGUUAAGUGAGUCAUGUCAUACUAUUGUGAUUUUAUUGGUUGGUGGAUUAUAAAGUGG